RNAcentral lists this ribosomal RNA (370 nucleotides) under uncultured organism. RNAcentral describes it as "bacterial SSU rRNA". It matches the Rfam family "Bacterial small subunit ribosomal RNA", at positions 526 to 896 of the family's 1533-position model. The record is from RNAcentral.
CGUAGGGUGCAAGCGUUAAUCGGAAUUACUGGGCGUAAAGCGUGCGCAGGCGGCUAUGCAAGACAGAUGUGAAAUCCCCGGGCUCAACCUGGGAACUGCAUUUGUGACUGCAUGGCUAGAGUACGGCAGAGGGGGAUGGAAUUCCGCGUGUAGCAGUGAAAUGCGUAGAUAUGCGGAGGAACACCGAUGGCGAAGGCAAUCCCCUGGGCCUGUACUGACGCUCAUGCACGAAAGCGUGGGGAGCAAACAGGAUUAGAUACCCUGGUAGUCCACGCCCUAAACGAUGUCAACUGGUUGUUGGACGGCUUGCUGUUCAGUAACGAAGCUAACGCGUGAAGUUGACCGCCUGGGGAGUACGGCCGCAAGGUUG